UGGCGGCGGCGGUUUCGAUUCGAUUGCAAAGAAUGAUGGGUCAAUAUAUUGGCCAGUCGUAAAGCGUUUACUUUGAAACCGUACAAAGAGCGAAUCAAAACAGCCGUCUUAUUUUACACGUUCGCUAUGGAUUAUGGGGCUGUGAAUCUUUUAGCCAAUGGUGAAGUGUGUACUUUGAAAUCGUAAAGAACCGAAUCAAAACAGGCGCCCGUUUCUCGAAACACACGAGAAUUCUCGGGCCCGAAAAGUUUAUUUUGCAUUUUUGCUCAAAAUUUCGCAUGUUUUCCUUCUGGAGAACCGCUUUCAUGUUUUAGAAACAGUUUAAACUUCCUCUUGGUUCGUAUUCCAAAUGAUUGCGCUCAAUAGCGCUAUUUUCGAAGUUUUGCUAAAGCCAAAAAGUUACCCGAAAAGUCUCGGGGACUGCGGGGUCCCGAGAACUUUCUAAAUAUUUUAGCCAUGUGAAUUUCGAGCCCGAGAAGUCGGGAAAGAUCAAAAUCGGUAAAACCAAAAAGAGGAUUAUUCCUCACAUGAAUCUUUGUGGUAAAAUACUAUAAAUUUUAAAGGAAUUAGCCAGCUUUUAAAAUUUAAGGAAUAAAACGUUUUUGGGUAACUUAUUAUAUCUCUAGUCGCCAUUUUGAUUUAAUUGUGGCAAAUUUUGUGAGUUGUUCUACUUCAAGAAAUUCUUUUGAGCGUCGAAUCCUAUCAAAAAUCAAAUCAAAUCGACAAUUAAGUUCUUAGCUUCUCAAGCAGUGGAAUUGCAUGUUAAUUGUUAGACCAUGUGAAUCACAUGAAACUCAACCAAGCAGUUUUCUCAGUACAACAUUUAAGAGUAAAACGAAAUUCUCAAAAACUAGAGCUUACAUAUGGCAAAUUCAAGUUAAAGAGACAGUUACAAACAUCCUUCAGUCACCACAGCCUUCUUCUGUUCUGUUCAUGCUAUACCAUACGAGCUACAAGCAGCAAUAACUUAAAAGGAGAGCAAAACAAGUGCAGUUGAAAAGAAAAAUUACACUCAGCAACAUCAUGUACCAAGAUCAACAAUCAGAAAUUACCAAGAUAUUAUUGUCUUGCCAUGCUGUGUCAAGGAAAAUACUACAAAACCAUUACAAAAUCAUGGCCACAUCACUUAUUGCACUAAAGAGCUUACUUAACCAGUGAACUAGAAAUGCAUGACAUGCAACUGCAGUCUGUGACAACUUCCUACACUGAUGUAUCACACAGGAAAAAAGCUACCGCUACUAUGUGGCACUACAA
Molecule: long non-coding RNA, 1254 nt
Organism: Nematostella vectensis (starlet sea anemone)
Lineage: Eukaryota; Metazoa; Cnidaria; Anthozoa; Actiniaria; Edwardsiidae
Exons: 2
Source: RefSeq, a predicted model, not a curated record